CCCCUCUCAGGCUCGCACCUGGAGAGUGUCUAGGACUCUACCAGUCUCUGCUACGGGAGGGAGAGUCAAGCAAAGGCCUACCCGUUCCAUUCCUAGCUUGGCCAGUGGCUGGCGAGUGGAAGGCCAUCUGCAACAUGU
Molecule: small nucleolar RNA, 138 nt
Organism: Ornithorhynchus anatinus (platypus)
Lineage: Eukaryota; Metazoa; Chordata; Mammalia; Monotremata; Ornithorhynchidae
Source: RefSeq, a predicted model, not a curated record